GGCGUAAAGAGUGGUUAGGAAAACAUAACAAAUUAAGGCCGAACGCCCUCAAGGCUGUUAUACGCACCCGAGAGUAAGAAGUACAACAACGAAAGUAGCCCUAUAAAUUCUGAACCCACGAAAGCUAAGGCACAAACUGGGAUUAGAUACCCCACUAUGCCUAGCCUUAAACAUUGAUAGCCUAUUACUUAAGCCAUCCGCCAGGGAACUACGAGCAUUAGCUUAAAACCCAAAGGACUUGGCGGUGCUUUAGAUCCACCUAGAGGAGCCUGUUCUAGAACCGAUAACCCCCGUUCAACCUCACCUUUCCUUGUUUUAUCCGCCUAUAUACCACCGUCGUCAGCUUAUCCUGUGAAGGUUUCUUAAUAAGCAAAAUUGGCAAAGCCCAAAACGUCAGGUCGAGGUGUAGUGUAUGGAAAGGGAAGCAAUGGGCUACAUUUCCUGCCCCAGGAAAUUACGAAUGAUAUAUUGAAAUAUAUGCCUGAAGGAGGAUUUAGUAGUAAGAGAAAAAUAGAGAGCUUGUCUGAAA
RNAcentral lists this ribosomal RNA (529 nucleotides) under Melichthys niger (black triggerfish). Its description in RNAcentral is "partial 12S ribosomal RNA". It matches the Rfam family "Bacterial small subunit ribosomal RNA", at positions 557 to 1367 of the family's 1533-position model. Lineage: Eukaryota; Metazoa; Chordata; Actinopteri; Tetraodontiformes; Balistidae. The record is from RNAcentral.